RNAcentral lists this long non-coding RNA (223 nucleotides) under Homo sapiens (human). RNAcentral's name for it is "non-protein coding lnc-SCN2A-6:2". The record is from RNAcentral. Lineage: Eukaryota; Metazoa; Chordata; Mammalia; Primates; Hominidae.
AGUCUCGGAAUGUUUUGAUUGUGGAGUUUAUAGAGUUCAGGCUGAAGUUUUAUAAAAAUAACUUGCAGCAGCAUGGAGGACUGAUGAGAAAGUAGACAGAUGCUGGAAGCAGGAAAACUGAACAGCAGGUCACUGGCCAAGGAGAAUCAAAGAGCUAGAUGCUGAGAAUAAUGCAGCCAUAACGUGAAAUCUUUUUGAGAGAGGAGGCAACCAAUUUCAGAGA